UACGGAGGGGGCUAGCGUUGUUCGGAAUUACUGGGCGUAAAGCGCGCGUAGGCGGCUUUGUAAGUUAGAGGUGAAAGCCCGGAGCUCAACUCCGGAACUGGCCUUUAAGACUGCAUCGCUAGAACGUCGGAGAGGUAAGUGGAAUUCCGAGUGUAGAGGUGAAAUUCGUAGAUAUUCGGAAGAACACCAGUGGCGAAGGCGACUUACUGGACGACUGUUGACGCUGAGGUGCGAAAGCGUGGGGAGCAAACAGG
This 254-nucleotide ribosomal RNA is filed under the name uncultured bacterium. Its description in RNAcentral is "partial 16S ribosomal RNA". It matches the Rfam family "Bacterial small subunit ribosomal RNA", at positions 524 to 776 of the family's 1533-position model. The record is from RNAcentral.